Molecule: long non-coding RNA, 318 nt
Organism: Onychostoma macrolepis
Lineage: Eukaryota; Metazoa; Chordata; Actinopteri; Cypriniformes; Cyprinidae
Exons: 3
Source: RefSeq, a predicted model, not a curated record
GAGGAAGGGGCAGACUGGAUGUGGUCCUGCAAACAUGGCGAUAUCAGGUGGCACAAAGAAAGAGAAAUAGAACUUGUCACCAUCAUCAGUCCUUUAUUUCAUUCACUGGGGAACAUCACAACCUUCAGAUGUGUCUUAUCAGGAUAAAUGCAGCUGCAGGGAAAAUUAUUUGAAGGACUCGUCAGCCCCAUCCUACUCCAGAUUCACCAAGGAUCCAGCUGAAGCCCCGUUCACACUACAAGCGACACGCAACGACAAAGCAACACGAUCCCAUUCAUUUCAAUGGAGAGCUGGCGAUUUCCGGCAACAGAGGCCGUU